AAAAUGUCUCUUAUUGUCUCCCAAAACUGAGCCUAAACGACCAGUAAUUGCUAACCUUUUUCUUGAAAGUUUCAAGUCCCUCUCGUUUUCCCCCCAAAUCUAUGGACAAUAGUAAAAGAGAAAAUAUUCCGUUUCACCUUUUAACUAUAAGACACACCUCAAUGUAAAGAUUGUCUUAUUACCUAAAUUAAUUAAAAGUAUAAUUUUGAUGGCAAGUAAUCUCGUUACUCCGUCGGCCGUUGCUACUUCGGCGUCUUGGGUCAGCCAUUGUUACUCCGGCCAGGUAAACUUCGGCGUCUUGGGUCAGCCAUUGUUACUCCGGCCAGGUAAAUGUUACUCUUCUUAACCUUAAUUUUUUAUUUUUGUGGGGGGUUUUGUCGAUUCAGAUCGCGGAGAUUAUGUUACCCGUAAAGGAGAAACUGGGGAUGGAGUUUAAUUCAUAUGGGAUGGAGAGGUAAUUCUGAUUGUUGUUUUUGCUUUGUUGUACAGAGUGUAUGUGAACAUAAAUCAUAAGAUUGAAUUUUUCUAUUAUUAUGGUCAUCUUAUUUCCAGGCAGAAGUUUGCGGUUUCAGUCGAGCUGAUGAUGAAAAUCCUCCUGAAUUCCAGCUGACUAUUUUGGUCAUGGUGAGGUGCUCCUUGUCAUUUUGGUAUUAUUUUUGCCUUUCGAUUUUCUCUUGAUCCCAACUUCCCAAAUUUUGAAAUCUUUUGAAUUGACUAUCUUGUCCUGUUACGAUCUCUACUCCUCAGUGUUAUACUCUUUGUUGUGCAAAUAUUUAUAUGUCGCUUCAGAUUCUAGAGUUCAGUCAUUGCCUCUCUAUAAGUCUCUUUUUGGUCUCUAUUAGCAACACAGUCAUGUUUACUGCUUUUAGACUUCCAGUCGUAAGUGUUGUGAUUACAAGGUUCAAGAUUUAUGGCAGGUUUGGCAACAUCUACACAGCCUGCUGAGGUGAACGCACUAUCUAAGGUGCUGCCUCUUUCCAACCAUAGAACAGUUUUCUUUUUCCGUUGUUAUUUCAUGUUGUCUAGGGGAUUCUGCAUCUAAUUUUGUAGUUAUCUUCUAACUUUCUCUAAUGGCAGUUGACCUGCUUAGUGCUGCCUCAUUAGCAUAAUAACCUGCUCCGGCCUAAAUCAAUUUGGAACGCAGACAAAGAAAGAUAUGCAUGCGCACUUGUGGAGCACAUAUUGCACUUAGAGCCUAUUGUGGUAUCCUAUUUAUGCCUUCUGUAACCUAUUCGUUGACCUCCCAUUCUUUUUACUUUAUAUGUUGGAGUUUAAUCUCACCCCACUUUGUGGGAAUAUAAUAGGUAUGUUAUUGUAAUGGAGUUUAAUCUUCAUUAUAUUUCUGUCUUAGAGACAUACCACUGAUUCUCAACACUUGAGCAUUCCUUCUCCUUAUUAUUUAGUUGUAAGGCUAAAGGAAGAAGCAGUGAUUCAGGAACAUAAUCUGUUUGAAAUGUUUGCUUGGUGACGGAGGAGUGAAUGUUGUGAUGGCAUUAGCUUUUAUGGAUGCUUAUCCUUUCUAUUAACUAUACAGUACACAGUUAUUUAGAUUAAUUGGGUACCUUUUUAAAAAAUGGAAGUAUGAAUUGGUUUUGAAAUUUGAAAUGAAAUAUAUCUAAAUAGAAUGGAACUUAAGCUGUAGAAUGGUAUAUAUGAGCUAAACUAGCUGGAUUUGAGUAAGCCGAUUGAUUGAUAUAUAAUCUUUAUGGUUGUAUAGUUUAUAGAAAGAGUUUUCUACCCUGCAAAGGCAGGGAUAAGGCUAUAUCCUCUUGAGGUUGUCAAGUUAGCUAUGUCAUCCAAAUUUUUUUUUCAGCAAAGUUUGAGAGUCCUUUUCUGUUUUUAUAUUAGUUGUGCUGCAACACAUUCCCUUUUAGGUAAACACGCAUAAAGAGAACAGACAUUAAUACAUUAUUUAACUUGCAUACACUUUUAAUAUAAAAAAGUGUUGCACUAAUAUGCAAUUUUAUAUGCGGUAACAGCUGAUUUAUAUGAUUUGCAUGUUACCAAUCCAUGUCUAGUAUAAAAGACUAUUCAUAUUCACUUAGUGUAAUCUUUCUUUAUCCUGUCAGUGUAUACUAGUUAAACGCAAAAGUUAUAAAUGAUACAAAGAGUUUGUUUAUUGCAAGCGUGGAUUUCAUUAAAAGUAAAAGAGGAAACUUUAGAAUAUACCCCAUAGAGAACAACUUCAGACAACUCACUACCAGAUAUGAGACAAUGACACAUCAAGUAACAUAAGUUCCACAGAAACCUUACUACUUUAAUCCAUUGUUAACAAAAAGGACAACACAAACUCCACACCAUUAGAAACCUUAACUUCUUUAAUCGUCUUAAUUAGUGUCCUAUUAAUGCAUAAAAAAAUCCACCCACCUUCAUAUUAUCUUAAACAUUAUCAAACAGUUUCUAUAGGGCCUAAGUUGAUAGUCGUCUCCAUAGCUUUCAUUGCUUCAAACCUAGGCUCCUUAUCCUGGAAUUUGAGACUUGCAUACAACUUUAUAUAAUCUUCAAAUACAAAUUUUGGAUACUUCAGUUUGUUCUCUUCUUCUGCCUUCUCAAUCAACUCUGGUGCUGGAAAUAUGACAGCAUCACUUCCUGGAUUGUAAAAGGAAGCUAUCGACAUCCAAUUGCCAUCUUGUUGAGCAAUCACUCUGUGCUCAACACUCUUGUAUCUUCCAUUAGUAAUCACCUUUAAUAAUUCAAACAAAAUCAACUCAUCAAGUGAAUCUGAAGUGUAAAUAAGGCAGAUUACCUGAUAUUACACGUCAAAAUGAAUACAUACCUCGAGUUAAUCACCGAGGUUGAUGACAAUUGAGUGUUUCAUAGGAGGGACAUCAAUCCAUUGCCAUCUUUUAGCAAUUAGAGCCCACUAACUUUGUCAUCUUGGAAAAGCAAGAUGAUGCCACCAGCAUCAGUGUGAGUGUCUAAGCCUUUGAUCAAUUCCUGGGACAAGAAGGGUAGUUGCUAACUUUGGUUCCAAAAGUUGGACCCUUUAAGCCAUAAAAUGCUUUUUUCAAAUAACCUUUCUCUAGGCAAAGAUUCUCACACAGUAAGUCCAAAAGAUUUUCAGCUAGUUUCUCUAGCUUCAGUGCAAAUUCUUUCAUAACUUUCCUGUCAUGAAGUUAGCAGUAAUAAAAAGUUAGCAAAAUAACCAGAGCUACUAAUCAAGUCUAAGGAUAACCCAAUUUCUCUUAGUAUUCAGUAACAGUAUGUCCUGUCUAUGUAGAAGUGAAAGGUUGAACUGAUACAAAUCCCAGAUUAUUGGAGUUAGCUUAGCAUAUGUUCUGUUUAUGUCAAAAAUAUGUUUUAAAAAAAAUAAUAAUGAAAAGAGAUGUUAUAUAAAAGGAUAAAAUUGGAUCUUUUUUUUCCUUUUUACCUGUAUUCAUCAUCCAGUUUACUAGUAUUUGUAUGUUUUCUAAUCCAAAUAUUUCAUCUGAAUAGGCAAAAGAUAUAAGCUUGAGUCUCUUUUCAAUGCUAAAUAAAAUAAAAUAUUUAGUAUUGGAAUGAAAUAUAUCUGGUAGGAGUGGAAAGGGAACUGAAGAAUCGUAUAGCUGACAUCAACUAAUUUGGAUUUGAGUUAACUGAGUAAUUGAUAUGUAAUCUUUUAUGGGUGUAUAGUGUGUAAAAUACGUUAUGAUCUAGAUGGCUUUACUAUAUUUGUAUGUUUUAGUUCAAAUAUUUCAUCUGAAUAGGCAAAAGAUAUAAGCUUGGGUCUUCUUUUUAAAGUUAACAAGGCAAAAUAUUUAGUAUUGGAAUGAAAUAUAUAUGAUUAGAGUGAAGAAUGGUAUACCCAACCCCAACUAAUUAGAUUAGAGUUAGCUGAUUGAUUGAUAUAUAAUCUUUUAUGGGUGUAUAGUGUGUAGAAUGAGUUAAUGUUCUAAGUAACUUUACCGAUUUGGUCAUCUUUUUGGGACCUAACAUUGCUAGCAUCUCACCUGGAUAUACAGUACCUGUCACUCCAUUUAGUAGUCUUUUCUUUUGUGCUUGAUGGUCCUCCAUAAUACAUUACUCUAGUUUCUUGCCUAAUCUUGUAAGCAAUUUCUUUUGUACUUGAUUGUGUUGUUGUAUGUUGAAUGGUAUUACCUGUAUGUUGAAUAGUACUCAGGUUCCUAGUUUGAUAUUACCUGUAUGUUGAAUGGUACUCAGGUUCUUAGUUUGAUCAACUAAUUGAGUAGGUUGAAACUGUAGCGUGGAGUAGUUGUUGAUUGAUCUAUUUAUAUUUAUCAUGAUAUUUUUUAGUUGUACGCAGAUAUAAAUGUAAUAAGGAUUGAAAGUUUAUCUGAUUGAUUUUUAUGCUUUGCAUUUUUAUGUAGCCAAGUGAUGCGGCUAGUAGAACCAUUUUGCCCAUGGAUGCAAGGAGACCACGUGAUGAUAGUGAUCCUAAUGGCAGUCGUUGAUUUCGUUAUAAAUUGUCUUGGAUAUUCAAUUAUGAUGAUAUGAUUGUGUGGUUGGAGCAAAUCUUGGAAUAUUAAAGGUUUUGUGUUUAAAUUUGAUUUUGGAAUUUGAAGAUGCUAGUUAAUGUUGAAAAUUUGGAGUUUGAAGAUGCUAAUGUUGAAAAUUUAAUUUUGAAGUUUAAUGUGCAAUGUAUUUUUGAUAUGCCUAUGAAUUACAAUGUUUAAUUAUUCAUGUUUCAUUAAUGAUAUAUGAAUAGAAUAAUAUUGGAUUGCAG
This 4663-nucleotide long non-coding RNA is filed under the name Capsicum annuum. Its description in RNAcentral is "long non-coding RNA (CANN_LNC014035)". The record is from RNAcentral. Lineage: Eukaryota; Viridiplantae; Streptophyta; Magnoliopsida; Solanales; Solanaceae.